RNAcentral lists this unclassified non-coding RNA (353 nucleotides) under fungal sp. RNAcentral describes it as "partial internal transcribed spacer region". The stretch from base 1 to 46 matches the Rfam family "Eukaryotic small subunit ribosomal RNA", at positions 1786 to 1831 of the family's 1831-position model. Lineage: Eukaryota; Fungi. The record is from RNAcentral.
AAGUCGUAACAAGGUUUCCGUAGGUGAACCUGCGGAAGGAUCAUUUCCGAAACAAAUUUCCAUACCAACCAACCAUGUGAAAUGUAAUUGUCUUUACUGUGGCACACCCUAAAGGGGGGGAUGCGUGAGUGUGUGUGUGUGUGGAGGUGGGGUGUGUAGCGGGGGGGAAGUGGCGCUUUUCAAGUGUUGCUUUCUCUCCCUCACCCCCCUCUCUCUCUCUCCUGCCGCCUCUUAUUCUCUCCUGUGCCACAGGCCUUGAUGAACUACCUUGAAUAGGUUGAUUUAUUGUCGUUCUUCCUACCAAUGGAAAACCAAUUAAAUGACAACUUUUAACGGUGGAUCUCUUGGCUCGU